RNAcentral lists this non-coding RNA (87 nucleotides) under unclassified sequences. Its description in RNAcentral is "PhotoRC-II RNA". It matches the Rfam family "PhotoRC-II RNA". The record is from RNAcentral.
UUUCUCUACUACUUGCCGUUACCGAGACUAGGCAGGACAAUCCGUCUCUAAUAUCCUGAUUAGGGCUUCAGGAAAUAACUUAAUACA